GGCAACUUGGCCGAGCGGUCUAAGGCGCCACGUUAAGGAGUAUCCUUGAUAUCAAACCCACUGGGUUCCGUGGUCCGAAAGGGCGUGAGUUCGAAUCUCACAGUUGUCA
Non-coding RNA from Podospora fimiseda, 109 nucleotides. The record is from the annotation of a GenBank genome assembly. Lineage: Eukaryota; Fungi; Ascomycota; Sordariomycetes; Sordariales; Podosporaceae.